UUAUAUGUCACAUCCCGACCCUUAUAUUUUUACCUUAUUUACUAGCGUGAUUAUAAUAAGAAUUUUACCGUCUCGAUCAUUGAGUAAAUAGUUUAAUUGGUCCCUAGAGGGGUUUCGGGGACGAUUAUGUGCGGAGGAUUAUUAGUAUGAAGAAAAUACGACGACGGUAAAAAUAGUAAAUUUUAGCUAGUAAAAGGUAAUUUUUAUUCGGGUAUUAUUUUUCGGGGUGUUGAAUUUUGGAUUAAAAGGAGAGUUGGGUCGGCUGGGCCGAGCCCAACCCAUUUCUUCUUCCUUUCUCUCUCUCUUCCUCCCGAUUUUUCUUCUCUUCCCACCCGAUUUUCUUCUCUCUACACCCAGCAAACUUCCGGCCGUCCUCCCGCCGCCGUCCGACCUCCGUUCGCCGCCGGACCGGUCCCGUUCGGUCGGUCUCCCUCCCAGCAACAUUUCUAGACCGGUGAGAGGAGCUCUAGCGCCGCCGUGAGUGAGCGGUGCCGCCCGAAAGCUUCGACUGCCGAAUUGGUUUUUUCGCCGGAACUUCCUCCUCCGGCCACCAAUCCGGGCAAGCUUGGUAUGGUUUUGUAGCCCUCCAACCCAGCAACCUUGCCCUAAAAGGACUCACUCCCUCUUGAGCUAGGUAAGGAGAAAUUUGAAGUGGAAGUUUUAUGGUGUUUUUGAUAUUUUUAGUCGAUAGCCCUAGUUAGGCUUGGAAUUGGUGUUUGUGCUAGUUAUGAAAGUUGUAGAGCUUGAUGAGAGGAAGAUGCUGUUAAAAUUUCAUAGGUUUUGGAGGUCGCCGGAAUUGACCUCCGGCCGCCGCUGCCGGCGGAGCCGCCGGCGGCACCGCCGCCGGUUGGGAGAUUUUAAUGUUGUUAAAUUUGGAAUAUUAAGGGGAGUUUAUUGAAGUGAGUUAUGGAAUUUUUGGAUGAGUUUUGGAUAGGUUUAUGAAUUUCCGAAGUGUGGUAUUUUUGGCGGGUAAUUAAUGUAGAAUCCGGCCGUUAGAUUUAAGUCGUAUUUUGGAGAGGUUGUAUUUACGACUGUGGAGUAUGAUAUUUAAGUUCGGAUCGUCCGAUGUAAAAAUAUCGAAGUUAGGCAAUAAUGAGCGUAAUUAUGGCUCUCGGGUAAUUUUGCCUAUUUUGAUUAAAUAUUGGAUUAUUGGUUGGGAAAUUAAUAUUAUAUUUGGAACAGGACGUGAAGAGGCUCGAGCAGACGAGACCCCAGAUUGACAUCAGGCUUAGGCCUAAUUCGUGAGUGGACGUUUAUUUUAAAUAAAUGCAUGCUAUAGUUCAUGGUUGAACAAUUAAUAUUGCGGAAUAUUUUAACGUCAUUUUAAUUUGACGAUUUUUAUUUUCUUCUUGGUAGAGCUACCGAAAAUGGGAUUUUCGGUGGAUAUAAAUAUGUAUUUAUGAGAGAGUAUGUAU
Molecule: long non-coding RNA, 1415 nt
Filed under: Fragaria vesca (wild strawberry)
Lineage: Eukaryota; Viridiplantae; Streptophyta; Magnoliopsida; Rosales; Rosaceae
Description: long non-coding RNA (FVES_LNC001977)
Source: RNAcentral